This 73-nucleotide transfer RNA is filed under the name Alligator sinensis (Chinese alligator). It matches the Rfam family "tRNA". From Rfam's summary of the family: Transfer RNA (tRNA) molecules are approximately 80 nucleotides in length. Their secondary structure includes four short double-helical elements and three loops (D, anti-codon, and T loops). Further hydrogen bonds mediate the characteristic L-shaped molecular structure. tRNAs have two regions of fundamental functional importance: the anti-codon, which is responsible for specific mRNA codon recognition, and the 3' end, to which the tRNAs corresponding amino acid is attached (by aminoacyl-tRNA synthetases). tRNAs cope with the degeneracy of the genetic code in two manners: having more than one tRNA (with a specific anti-codon) for a particular amino acid; and 'wobble' base-pairing, i.e. permitting non-standard base-pairing at the 3rd anti-codon position. Lineage: Eukaryota; Metazoa; Chordata; Crocodylia; Alligatoridae. The record is from Rfam by way of RNAcentral.
GUGUGGAUAGCCCAGUUGGUAGAACCUCAGACUUUUAAUUUGAGGGUCCAAGGUUCAAGUCCCUGUUCAGAAA